AUGGACAACUCUCAGAGUCAGCCAUUACCUCCUGGUGUUGGAGCAUGGCAGCCGCCACCUCCAAAUCCUCCUCCACAAUUUCAGCAUCCUCCACAAUUUCAACCUACCCCACGCCCACAUGCUUAUCCAGCACCAUAUGAUACCAGACCCAAUGGUGGUAACAAUCAAAAUGGAGCAAACAUGUACUAUGCAACACAACAUUUUCAUCCUAGUCCACAUCGACAUGCUUAUCCAACACCAUACGACACCAGACCCAAUAAUGGCAGCAAUCAAAAUACAGCAGGCCCCUUCUAUGCUACACAGCCUAACAUGCCUUUUGCUCCCGCUCAAAGUACUCCUAGUGUUACCGCAGAAGCUGGGAAUGGACAACCAGAUCUCAAUGGCCAUCAGAGCGCUCAUGUGGUUGCUAACCACAAUGGAAGUGCGGCAAACAUCGAAUCUGCUGUGCAAGAGGCUGUUCUUCACGAACAGGACAUUGAGACGCAGCAAGUAAUACAAAAUCAAAGGCAAGCAAAAUCAACAAACGACCCCGCAGAAUAUGGGGAAGACAUACUUUCGAGCCGGCGCGACCCUAAUGCACUGAAGGAACACUUGCUGAAGAUGACGGUUGACCAUCGUGCAGAGAUGGCAAAUAAAAGGGGAAAGUCACUUCAUCCAGAUAAUGGCAAUGUUGAGAUUGGCAAUGGCUAUGGUGUACCAGGAGGUGGUGCUUAUUAUGCUGGAAAUUUGUCAAGUGCUCAAAUGAAUAAACCAAAAGAUUAUGCUGAGAAAGCAGAAGGUGAUGACGGUCUCCCCGAGUUUCUGAAGCAGAGGUUAAAAGCAAGGGGAAUUCUUAAAGACAAGGAAGCAAAUGAUAACAUCAUGGCUAAACAAAAUGCAAAUUCUCAAGAAGGCCACAACAAAUCUGCCCAAGAUUUGCCUCCUGGUUGGGCCGAGACGAAGGAUCCAACGACUGGUGCUUCUUAUUUCUACAACCAAAGCACCGGAGUAACCCAAUGGGAUCGUCCCGGUGGUACCGUGAAUACCGUGCAGCAUCAAGCUGCUCCAUCAUUGCCAGAAAAUUGGGAGGAGGCACUUGACAAAUCAACAGGCCAGAAAUACUACUAUAACACAAAGACACAGGCAACACAGUGGGAGCCACCUACUUCUGUGAACCCAGUUAUUGUGCCACAAGCAUCCACCGUUGUUGCAGUUCAGCCGACCACUCAAAAUACUGAUCUUUGGAACCCUCACAUACAAAGAUGUUCAGGCUGUGGUGGCUGGGGAGUCGGUCUUGUCCAGCCGUGGGGAUAUUGCAAUCACUGCACAAGGGUUCAAAAUCUGCCUUUUCAACAGUAUCCGUCUUACUCGAACAAUAUCGUGCCCUCAAGUUGUACCAAUGUUCCCAAAAGUCAAGGAAACAUCGCAGCUAAGGACAGAUCAAAUUCAAAACCCCCUUCAGGUAAAGCAAACAAAAAAGAUAACCGAAAAAGAGGUCGUGCUGAGGAGGAUGAGCUUGACCCAAUGGAUCCAAGCUCUUACUCAGAUGCUCCACGGGGUGGCUGGGUUGUUGGCCUGAAGGGUGUACAGCCGCGAGCAGCGGAUACAACUGCAUCUGGACCUCUGUUCCAACAAAGGCCGUAUCCCUCACCCGGCGCCGUGUUGAGGAAAAAUGCGGAGGCGGCAUCUGGCAGCGGCAAGAAACGUGGUGGUAUGUCUGCGAUCAGCAAAAGAGGGGAUGGCAGUGAUGGGCUCGGGGAAGCGGAUUAA
RNAcentral lists this ribosomal RNA (1749 nucleotides) under Triticum aestivum (bread wheat). RNAcentral describes it as "partial small subunit ribosomal RNA". The record is from RNAcentral. Lineage: Eukaryota; Viridiplantae; Streptophyta; Magnoliopsida; Poales; Poaceae.